AAAGGGUCCGUAGGCGGUUUAAUAAGUCAGUGGUGAAAUCUGGUCGCUCAACGAUCAAACGGCCAUUGAUACUGUUAGACUUGAAUUAUAAGGAAGUAACUAGAAUAUGUAGUGUAGCGGUGAAAUGCUUAGAUAUUACAUGGAAUACCAAUUGCGAAGGCAGGUUACUACUUAUGGAUUGACGCUGAUGGACGAAAGCGUGGGGAGCGAACAGGAUUAGAUACCCCGGU
RNAcentral lists this ribosomal RNA (230 nucleotides) under uncultured bacterium. Its description in RNAcentral is "partial 16S ribosomal RNA". It matches the Rfam family "Bacterial small subunit ribosomal RNA", at positions 562 to 791 of the family's 1533-position model. The record is from RNAcentral.